CCUACGGGUGGCUGCAGUGGGGAAUAUUGCGCAAUGGGCGAAAGCCUGACGCAGCGACGCCGCGUGAGGGAUGAAGGUCUUCGGCUCGUAAACCUCUGUCAGCAGGGAAGAACGGUCACUGUGCUAAUCAGCAGUGAAUUGACGGUACCUGCAAAGGAAGCACCGGCUAACUCCGUGCCAGCAGCCGCGGUAAUACGGAGGGUGCGAGCGUUAAUCGGAAUUACUGGGCGUAAAGCGCUCGUAGGCGGUAUGUCAAGUCAAGGGUGAAAUCCCCGCGCUCAACGUGGGAACUGCCUUUGAAACUGGCAAACUUGAGUGGGUGAGAGGAUAGUGGAAUUCCAGGUGUAGGAGUGAAAUGCGUAGAUAUCUGGAGGAACAUCAGUGGCGAAGGCGACUAUCUGGCACAUAACUGACGCUGAGGAGCGAAAGCGUGGGUAGCAAACAGGAUUAGAUACCCGGGUAGUC
Molecule: ribosomal RNA, 465 nt
Filed under: uncultured bacterium
Lineage: Bacteria
Description: partial 16S ribosomal RNA
Rfam family: Bacterial small subunit ribosomal RNA
Source: RNAcentral